CGUGUAGGCGGGAAUGCAAGUCAGAUGUGAAAUUCCGAGGCUUAACCUCGGCGCUGCAUCUGAAACUGUGUUUCUUGAGUACUGGAGAGGAAAGCGGAAUUCCUAGUGUAGCGGUGAAAUGCGUAGAUAUUAGGAGGAACACCAGUGGCGAAGGCGGCUUUCUGGACAGUAACUGACGCUGAGGCGCGAAAGCGUGGGGAGCAAACAG
This is a ribosomal RNA of 208 nucleotides. It matches the Rfam family "Bacterial small subunit ribosomal RNA", at positions 568 to 775 of the family's 1533-position model.